RNAcentral lists this ribosomal RNA (543 nucleotides) under Cherax albertisii. RNAcentral describes it as "partial 16S ribosomal RNA". It matches the Rfam family "Bacterial large subunit ribosomal RNA", at positions 1816 to 2629 of the family's 2925-position model. Lineage: Eukaryota; Metazoa; Arthropoda; Malacostraca; Decapoda; Parastacidae. The record is from RNAcentral.
CAUGUCUGUAUGAGAGUUAUAUAAAGUCUGACCUGCCCAUUGGGGACUAAAAGGCCGCGGUAUUUUGACCGUGCGAAGGUAGCAUAAUCAUUAGUCUUUUAAUUGAAGGCUGGAAUGAAUGGUUGGACGAGAAGAAAGCUGUCUCUAUCUUGGGGAUUGAAUUUAACUUUUAAGUGAAAAGGCUUAAAUGAGUUAGAGGGACGAUAAGACCCUAUAAAGUUUAUACAUGAAGCUGGUUAAGAGUGAUUUGAGGUAUUAAAGUUUAUUAUCAGCAGGGUGUUUAGUUGGGGCGACUAGGAUAUAAAUUAUAUAACUGUUUUUUGUUUAAAUCAGAGAUACUUGUUUAUAUGAUCCCUUUUUAGGAUUAGAGAAUAAAUUACUUUAGGGAUAACAGCGUAAUUUUUUUUAAGAGUUCUUAUCGACAAGAGAGUUUGCGACCUCGAUGUUGAAUUAAAAAUUUCUUUGUGGUGUAGCAGUUACAGAAGAAGGUCUGUUCGACCUUUAAAUUUUUACAUGAUUUGAGUUCAGACCGGCGAAAGCCAG